GUAGGUGGCAAGCGUUGUCCGGAAUUAUUGGGCGUAAAGCGCGCGCAGGUGGUUCUUUAAGUCUGAUGUGAAAGCCCCCGGCUCAACCGGGGAGGGUCAUUGGAAACCGGGGAACUUGAGUGCAGGAGAGGAAAGUGGAAUUCCACGUGUAGCGGUGAAAUGCGUAGAUAUGUGGAGGAACACCAGUGGCGAAGGCGACUUUCUGGCCUGUAACUGACACUGAGGCGCGAAAGCGUGGGGAGCAAACAGGAUUAGAUACCCUGGUAGUCCAUGCCGUAAACGAUGAGUGCUAAGUGUUGGGGGGGUUUCCCGCCCCUCAGUGCUGCAGCUAACGCAUUAAGCACUCCGCCUGGGGAGUACGGUCGCAAGACUG
RNAcentral lists this ribosomal RNA (373 nucleotides) under uncultured organism. Its description in RNAcentral is "partial 16S ribosomal RNA". It matches the Rfam family "Bacterial small subunit ribosomal RNA", at positions 527 to 896 of the family's 1533-position model. The record is from RNAcentral.